ACUCAAAGGAAUUGACGGGGGCCCGCACAAGCGGUGGAGCAUGUGGUUUAAUUCGACGCAACGCGAAGAACCUUACCUGGGCUUGAACCACCAGAAGUAGAACUGAUGAAAAUCGGGACGACCUGUAAAGUCAGGAACUGGCAGAGGUGCUGCAUGGCUGUCGUCAGCUCGUGUCGUGAGAUGUUGGGUUAAGUCCCGCAACGAGCGCAACCCUUAUCCUAUGUUGCCAUGUCCAAAUCGGACGGAACUCUUAGGAAACUGCCUCGGAUAACGGGGAGGAAGGUGGGGAUGACGUCAAGUCACCAUGGCCUUUAUGUCCAGGGCUACACACGUGCUACAAUGGCCGGUACAGCGAGCAGCGAAUCCGCAAGGAGGAGCAAAUCUCUAAAAGCCGGCCCCAGUUCAGAUAGUGGGCUGAAAUUCGCCCACUUGAAGGUGGAAUCGCUAGUAAUCGGGGAUCAGCUGGCCCCGGUGAAUACGUUCCCGGGCCUUGUACACACCGCCCGU
This 507-nucleotide ribosomal RNA is filed under the name uncultured bacterium. RNAcentral's name for it is "partial 16S ribosomal RNA". It matches the Rfam family "Bacterial small subunit ribosomal RNA", at positions 899 to 1397 of the family's 1533-position model. The record is from RNAcentral.